RNAcentral lists this small RNA (579 nucleotides) under Pan troglodytes (chimpanzee). RNAcentral's name for it is "retained intron". The record is from RNAcentral. Lineage: Eukaryota; Metazoa; Chordata; Mammalia; Primates; Hominidae.
AGCUUCCUCUUCCGAGGAAAGGCGGGGCCUGGGCGCCCGCGGGAAACCCGGGCCCCUUGCAUCCGCUGGGUGUAGCCGUGGGGAUGGCAGGUUCGGGGAGGCUGGUCCUACGGCCCUGGAUUCGGGAGCUGAUUCUGGGGUCAGAGACACUCUCCAGUCCACGAGCCGGGCAGCUGCUCGAGGUGAGCCCCCAUUCAGGGCCCGGAGACCGAGGCGGAGGCCCGGGGUGGUGGGAUUGACGCCGCUCGCCGCCGUCAGGUACUACAGGAGGCCGAGGCCGCGGUCGCGGGCCCAUCCCACGCCCCUGAUACGUCCGACGUCGGGGCCACGCUGCUUGUGUCUGACGGGACCCACAGUGUCCGAUGCCUGGUGACGCGGGAGGCCCUGGACACCUCGGACUGGGAGGAGAAGGAGUUCGGCUUCCGCGGGACAGAGGGCCGGCUGCUGCUGCUGCAGGACUGCGGGGUUCAUGUCCAGGUCGCUGAGGGCGGCGCGGUGAGUGGUGAGACUGUCUUGGGCGGGUUACCGGGCAUGACUCUUCGUGACGAUUCUGAGACCUCCCCUUCCCCACGAACUCCU